This 440-nucleotide ribosomal RNA is filed under the name uncultured bacterium. RNAcentral's name for it is "partial 16S ribosomal RNA". It matches the Rfam family "Bacterial small subunit ribosomal RNA", at positions 338 to 795 of the family's 1533-position model. The record is from RNAcentral.
CCUACGGGAGGCUGCAGUGGGGGAUAUUGCACAAUGGGGGGAACCCUGAUGCAGCGACGCCGCGUGGGUGAAGAAGCGCCUCGGCGCGUAAAGCCCUGUCAGCAGGGAAGAAAAUGACGGUACCUGAAGACGACGCCCCGGCUAACUACGUGCCAGCCGCCGCGGUCCUACGUAGGGGGCAAGCGUUAUCCGGAUUUACUGGGUGUAAGGGGGGCGCAGACGGCGAUGCAAGCCAGGAGUGAAAGCCCGGGGCCCACCCGCGGGACUGCUCUUGGAACUGCGUGGCUGGAGUGCAGGAGGGGCAGGCGGAAUUCCUGGUGUAGCGGUGAAAUGCGUAGAUAUCAGGAGGAACACCGGUGGCGAAGGCGGCCUGCUGGACUGCAACUGACGUUGAGGCCCGAAAGCGUGGGGAGCAAACAGGAUUAGAUACCCCAGUAGUC